GACGAACGCUGGCGGCGUGCUUAACACAUGCAAGUCGAACGGAAAGGCCCUGCUUUUGUGGGUUGCUCGAGUGGCGAACGGGUGAGUAACACGUGAGUAACCUGCCCUUGACUUUGUGAUAACUUCAGGAAACUGGGGCUAAUACCGGAUAUGAUCUCCUGCUGCAUGGUGGGGGUUGGAAAGUUUCGGCGGUUGGGGAUGGACUCGCGGCUUAUCAGCUUGUUUGUGGGGUAGUGGCUUACCAAGGCUUUGACGGCUAGCCGGCCUGAGAGGGUGACCGGCCACAUUGGGACUGAGAUACGGACCAGACUCCUACGGGAGGCAGCAGUGGGGAAUAUUGCACAAUGGGCGGAAGCCUGAUGCAGCAACGCCGCGUGCGGGAUGCCGGCCUUCGGGUUGUAAACCGAUUUCGACUGUGACGAAGCGUGAGUGACGGUAAUGGGUAAAGAAGCACCGGCUAACUACGUG
RNAcentral lists this ribosomal RNA (468 nucleotides) under uncultured bacterium. RNAcentral describes it as "partial 16S ribosomal RNA". It matches the Rfam family "Bacterial small subunit ribosomal RNA", at positions 28 to 507 of the family's 1533-position model. The record is from RNAcentral.